This is a non-coding RNA of Theobroma cacao (cacao), 763 nucleotides long. The record is from RefSeq and is a predicted model, not a curated record. NCBI's taxonomy places the organism in Eukaryota, Viridiplantae, Streptophyta, Magnoliopsida, Malvales, Malvaceae.
AGGAUCUCCAAAAUCUAGAGGAGAUACUAGUUGUUUUUUGUGAACAAAUGGAGGAAAUAAUAGCAUCAGAAGAAGAGGAAGAGAAUCACAAGGGAGAAGGAAGUAAUGCAACCAUAACAUUUACUCUUCCCAACUUAAGGCAAUUGUCGUUUUUUGAGUUACCAAAAUUGGAGAGAAUCUGUUGUGAAAAGGGAGUCAUGGUCUGUGAUUCUCUUCAGAAUAUUGAAAUACGGAAAUGUAGGAACCUAAAGAGGAUCCCUCUGCAUCUACCCUUGCUAGACAAUGGCCAGCCAUAUCUUCCUCCCUCUCUCAAACUAAUUGAGGUAUCUCCAAAAAGAUGGUGGGAAUCAUUGAAGUGGGAUCAUCCCAACGCUAAGAAUGCCCUUUUACCUCUCUGUCAAUUCAUUGAAGAAAUUCCAUCACCAAAACAGAUUCCCCCACAAAUGUUAAUGUAUUAAGGGCAAUGGUGUUUCAUCAAUCGGCUAAGAAGAGGAACUUUACGUGUACUGUUCUCCAGCCAUGCAAAUUCAUUUCUCCAAGCCCUGGUUCAAAGGUUCUCUAAAUCACAUACCAGGCUCUCUUCAAUCCAUCUUUUGGGAAGAACUUCAAUCAAUGCUUGUUCAUUUCUGUAAUAUAGUUUAUGGAGUAAAUGCAGAAAGCACAUUAAGCAGUUUAUCUUUCUAUGUGAUGGUUUGCUUGAUAAUUCCAUCCUGUAAUUCAUUGUCAAUUCUUAAACAGUUAUAAUGCUAUUUCUGCUUCAUUA